Molecule: small RNA, 122 nt
Filed under: Marmota monax (woodchuck)
Lineage: Eukaryota; Metazoa; Chordata; Mammalia; Rodentia; Sciuridae
Source: RNAcentral
GCUAGGUGUGGUGGCCCACACCCGUAAUCCCAGAGGCUUGGGAGGCUGAGGCAGGAGGAUCCAUAGUUCAGAGACAGCCUCAGCAAUGAGGCCCUAAGCAACUCAGUGAGACCCUGUCUCUA